Molecule: transfer RNA, 82 nt
Filed under: Fistulifera solaris
Lineage: Eukaryota; Bacillariophyta; Bacillariophyceae; Naviculales; Stauroneidaceae
Rfam family: tRNA
About the family: Transfer RNA (tRNA) molecules are approximately 80 nucleotides in length.
Source: Rfam by way of RNAcentral
GACUGCGUGCUUGAGUGGCUAAAAGGUUAGUCUUGAAAACUAAUGGGCUAGUCCCUCGCAGGUUCGAAUCCUGUCGCAGUCG